UCUCGAUCUCGGCGGCUAGAGAGGGAGGGGCGAAGGCGGCGAAGGAGAUUGAGGUGGCUAGGAGGGAAGAAGCGGAUUUGAGGGAGAUGAUUUGAUGAGAUUUUGGGAUUUUGGAGCGGAGGAGGACGGAGAGGUUCGGGAGUUUAGGCUUGGAGGAAGAGGCGGUGGUUGUGGUUGGGAGGAGGGAGGCAGAUGGAGCGAAGAUGAAGGGCUUGGAAGUGGCCAUUAUCAUCUUCGCCAUGGCGGAUUCAGCGAUUGAAAGAGUUAGGCUGUGAGAAUUGGAGAAGAGGGGGAAUUUGGUGAGUGACAGAGUGGGUGGGUGGUCUGCUAAUUUCCCAGAUUUUGUGUGGAAAGGGUCGAAAGGCUUAUCUCCUCCUUCGCCACACGAUUUUGAUUUUG
This 399-nucleotide long non-coding RNA is filed under the name Linum usitatissimum (flax). RNAcentral describes it as "long non-coding RNA (LUSI_LNC004685)". Lineage: Eukaryota; Viridiplantae; Streptophyta; Magnoliopsida; Malpighiales; Linaceae. The record is from RNAcentral.